GCAAGUCGUGCGAGAAAGAUCUUCGGAUAUGAGUAGAGCGGCGGACGGGUGAGUAACGCGUAGGAAUCUACCUAGUAGAAGGGGAUAGCCCGGGGAAACCCGGAUUAAUACCGUAUACCUCCUUCGGGAGAAAGAAGGCCUCUCUUUGAAGCUUUCGCUAUUAGAUGAGCCUGCGUAAGAUUAGCUUGUUGGUGAGGUAAAGGCUCACCAAGGCUACGAUCUUUAGCUGGUCUGAGAGGACGAUCAGCCACAUUGGGACUGAGACACGGCCCAGACUCCUACGGGAGGCAGCAGUGGGGAAUAUUGGACAAUGGGCGCAAGCCUGAUCCAGCCAUACCGCGUGUGUGAAGAAGGCCUUCGGGUUGUAAAGCACUUUAAGCAGGGAGAAAAAGUUAUAAGUUAAUACCUUAUAACCGUGAUGUUACCUGCAGAAUAAGCACCGGCUAAUUCCGUGCCAGCAGCCGCGGUAAUACGGAAGGUGCAAGCGUUAAUCGGAAUUACUGGGCGUAAAGCGCGCGUAGGUGGUUUGUUAAGUUGGAUGUGAAAGCCCUGGGCUCAACCUAGGAACUGCAUCCAAAACUAACUCACUAGAGUACGAUAGAGGGAGGUAGAAUUCAUAGUGUAGCGGUGGAAUGUGUAGAUAUUAUGAAGAAUACCAGUGGCGAAGGCGGCCUCCUGGAUCUGUACUGACACUGAGGUGCGAAAGCGUGGGUAGCGAACAGGAUUAGAUACCCUGGUAGUCCACGCCGUAAACGAUGACAACUAGCUGUUGGAAGACAACGUCUCUCAGUGGCGCAGCUAACGUUUUAAGUUGUCCGCCUGGGGAGUACGGCCG
RNAcentral lists this ribosomal RNA (835 nucleotides) under uncultured marine bacterium. RNAcentral's name for it is "bacterial SSU rRNA". It matches the Rfam family "Bacterial small subunit ribosomal RNA", at positions 57 to 888 of the family's 1533-position model. The record is from RNAcentral.